UCCUGUCUAUUUUGUACUCGAGUGAGCGCGUGUCGUUCCAAUCUUGUACUUUGAACUACGAUUAUGUGAUUUGCUGGUUUUGUGUGGUGUUGUAUUUGUUGUGUUACGUUUCCUUUGUCGUCCGUCAGCGUGUUGCUUCCCGUGUUUCUCCCAUUUCCUUUCUGCUCGGGGGUGCGGAAUGCCAGGGAAUGUUUGGCACGUUUGUUUAUGUAACUACCUUAAUAUGCUUGGGUAUAAACAUUAUGCUUUGCACAGGAAGUUUAGAUAUGACUGGUUAUGACACGAAAUGCCGAACGGCACUAAAGCACUUCCAAAGGACUAGAAUGAUACGUGAUAUAAAGGCUAUAUGACGGUAAAAACAUACCGACUAGAAAUAUGUGCACUGGGGAAAUAAAUGGUGGUAAAGACAGUUCAAAAUGACUAGAGGUAGAGUGAAUAAGUCAUAAAAAGGCUAAGUAGCAAGGUCUUGUGGUGAAAGUUCCAACAUCAAAGUAUCACAAGUCCAGUUGCAACAGCAAGUUUGAAGCAGUCAAGCAGCUGAGGUCUGGCUGUCACCUUCUCUGUAUAUUCUUUGGCAAGGUGGUACAGUCCGAUACUGCUGUAGCACUGGGAAACUUCUUUGAUCAGACGGAUCACAUUGUUUUCAUUUGGGCUGCAUUCAAACAUGUGUUGUCGCAAGCUUAAGCAGCGAGAAUAAAGAGUAGACAUUCGA
This is a long non-coding RNA of Ornithodoros turicata, 712 nucleotides long. RefSeq lists it as uncharacterized. The record is from RefSeq and is a predicted model, not a curated record. The transcript is spliced from 2 exons. Lineage: Eukaryota; Metazoa; Arthropoda; Arachnida; Ixodida; Argasidae.